CCAUUAGCUUGUUGGUGAGGUAACGGCUCACCAAGGCUGUGAUGGCUAGCUGGUCUGAGAGGAUGACCAGCCACACUGGGACUGAGACAGGCCCAGACUCCUACGGGAGGCAGCAGUGGGGAAUAUUGCGCAAUGGGCGAAAGCCUGACGCAGCGACGCCGCGUGGGUGAUGAAGGCCUUCGGGUCGUAAAGCCCUGUCGCAGGGGAAGAAUAAGCAUCGGUAUAAUACGCCGGUGCCCUGACGGUACCCUGCAAGAAAGCACCGGCUAACUCCGUG
RNAcentral lists this ribosomal RNA (277 nucleotides) under uncultured bacterium. Its description in RNAcentral is "partial 16S ribosomal RNA". It matches the Rfam family "Bacterial small subunit ribosomal RNA", at positions 238 to 507 of the family's 1533-position model. The record is from RNAcentral.